UCCACAUCCUUCUUGAAGCAUGGGUCCCAAGACUGAGCAUAGUGCUCCAGGUGAAGCUUCAUCAAUGCUGAAUAGACUGGAAGAAUCACUACCCUUGAUUUGCAAGUGACAUUCCUGUUAAUACAAGCCAGUAUGCUGUUGACUUUUUUUGCAACAACAGCACACUGUUGACUCAUGUUCAGUUUCUGGUUCACGGUAACCUCCAGGUCCUUCUCUGCAGUACUGCAGCCUAGCCAGUCAUUCCCCAAUCUGUAUUUGUGAAUGCAAUUAUUCUAUCCACUGCAGGAUGUUGUUUUUGUUGAAUCUCAUCUCAUUGAUUGCAGACCAUUUCUCCAGUCUAUCCCAGCAAUUCUAGAUUUAACUCUGCCUUUUGGAGUGUCUGCAAUUCCACCUAAUUUGGUGUCAGUUGCAAAUUUGCUAAGUGUACACUUAAUCCCAUCAUCCAAAUUAUUAAUAAAGAUUUUGAAAAACAGCCCCAGGACAGACCACUGAGGAACCCCAUUUGAUACGUCCUCCAAGCUAGACAUUAAGCCACUGAGGAAUACUUGCUGGGCGUGUUUAUAUGUGUGCUUAACUGUGCAGUAGACUAAUGUGCUGUGUAGUAAAGCAUCACUGUGUACAUUUGCACAACAAUUAGACUGGUAUAGACUAAUUUUCUGUACCAUCACACACAAGUACUAUCCGAGGGCAGAGUAAAUUACUGUGCUUAUAGGCACGUGCAGAUGGUGAUGUCUAGAUUAGUUUACUCUGGCUCAAAUUGUGCCGGCGUUUAUUCAGUCACAUUAACUGCGUGUGUAGACAUGCAAACUGAGUAUGAUGAUCCACCUUACAGUACUUUUGUCUAGUCUGUAUUUCCUUAGCUUGUUAAUGAGACUGUCAUGAGAGGUGGUGUCAAAAGUCAAGGUCCACUGCUCUUUGCUUUCUUUGGCUGAGAACUAGUGCAGUAGUUCUCAACCUUUUCAGUUAGGGCAUCCCUCCACAACCUUCUGGAUGUGGUGGUUACCUCAGUUGAGAACAACUGUGGUACUCAAUUUAGCCCAGGGUUCUUAGCCACGUGUUGCUGUUGCCUCCAGGUAAAACUGUUCUGGUGCAUAGUUAGACUGGGAAGGGUUGUUGUUGUUGUUGGUGGUGUGUGUGGGUGUGUGUGUAUGCUCCUGCCUCACUAGGGUUCUCUGAUAAUCCUAAAGCAGACAGAAGUGCUGGCUCAUACUGUAGCCCUGCCCAGUCUGACUAUACCAGACACACAGGACAGUUAUACCUAGAGGCAACAGCAACACCUGGUCAAGAAUCACUGGGCUAAAUUGAGUGCAACAUCUCCUGGAAACAGAUGUACAAGGCAGGUGGAACUGUCCCGUGUGCCUCUGUUUUUGGGAGAAGUAUGGAAGGGGCCAGACCUAGAAGGGCUAUAGCAUGAGCAGGCUUUGCAGGAUUUGAUUUCUGCUGAUAAACAUUGAUAAAUGGCAAGCUCAUCUCACACUCAGACUGAUGGAAAAUAUUUCCAUCAGUAAUAAUCAAAAUUUAUAGAAAGGGGACUGUAGCAGGGAACCCUUUACCCUGUUAUUGGACCCUGGAGAAAGAUGGAGGGACAGAGGGGUUAAACAGGAAAACAGUGGGCAGCCUAAUAACUCAUCAGUUAAGCAAUUAGCUGCUUGUUCUGGCCUAAUGACUAAUCAGUUAAGCAAUUAGCUGCUCCUUCACAGGUGCUGGAAGUGGGCUGGAGGGAGAGAACAGGCUACUUAAACAAACCCUUACCCAGAGCUCAGUGGAAGGCUGAGGCUAGUGGUGGCAGCCUCUGCCCCUGUUCCCAGAGCUCUGGGAGUGCUGCUGCCACCUUUUUUUUGUCUAUGCCCACCUGGCUCUUUCCUGAGGAAUGAACAGAAUGAUUUAAAGCAGGGACUUGGCACCCCUGUGGGAUGAAAUCCAACUACUGAUGACAGUUAUAUGGUUGAGCACACAAUGGAACAGAUGAAGAGAUACAGUUUUGGUUCCUACUGCCCACAAAAGGUGGAGGAGAGUGUGAAGAACCAAGGGUAAUAAAUAAAACACUUACAGCAGGAAUGGGGUCCGAGGAAGACAAGGAUGGGAGAUUCCGGAGCAGCUGUUCAGUGUGGAUUGGAUGCCCUGUGGCAAAGAGGGGCAGGGCUGGAGAGAGACGGACGCCAGAAGAGGGUGAGGAGUGGUAAACUCACAAAGGAAUGUGGGAAAGAAGACCCCAGGAGAGGAUGCUCCCGGAGAGAGAAAGAGAUGAACAGAGCUAAUUCAGCAGGGAAUUGCUGAUGAGAAAUCUUAAAGAAGGUAAUUCCUGGAAAGGAGAAAAAGGAGUGGAGGAACCCUUCUCUCACUUAGAAGAGACUGUGACUGGGAUUUAAUUGUUGUUUACUCAUGGGGCUUUGUUGCGAGCCAAUUGAACUCAAAAAAAAAAGAAAAGAAAAGAAAUUGUGAGAAGAUGCUACAAGUCCUUGGGAAGAGGGACUACACCCAGAGGAGAAAUAAAGGAAUAAAACCCUGGGUAAUAUAAACCAGACUGACUAAAAAUUGUUAGAUAAGUAGUAAUGUGAUUAAAGAAAAAUCAUAUCCAAGUUGGAUGCUGUUUAAGUUGAUAGUGUUAAUUGUUUGCUGUAAACAAACAACAAAGGGAUGAUGGAUGUAAAUUAGAGUACGGAUAAAUAAAGAACACUGUUAAUCUAAAUGAAGUAAGACU
Molecule: long non-coding RNA, 2701 nt
Organism: Alligator mississippiensis (American alligator)
Lineage: Eukaryota; Metazoa; Chordata; Crocodylia; Alligatoridae
Exons: 3
Source: RefSeq, a predicted model, not a curated record